Molecule: ribosomal RNA, 376 nt
Filed under: Strombidium sp.
Lineage: Eukaryota; Ciliophora; Spirotrichea; Strombidiidae
Description: partial small subunit ribosomal RNA
Rfam family: Eukaryotic small subunit ribosomal RNA
Source: RNAcentral
AUUCCAGCUCCAAUAGCGUAUAUUAAAGUUGUUGCAGUUAAAAAGCUCGUAGUUGGACUUCUGGCAGGGCGCCGCGUGCCACAGUAGUGCGCACAAGGGCCCGGCCAUCCUUCUGUAAACGUCGGGGAAGUUUAUUCGUCCGCGGCGGGAUCAGUUAAUUUACCUUGAGAAAAUUAGAGUGUUUCAGGCAGGCGUAGCCGGAAUACAUUAGCAUGGAAUAAUGGAAUAGGACUUAGUCUCUUUGUUGGUUCGAGGGACUGGAGUAAUGAUUAAUAGGGAUAGUUGGGGGCAUUAGUAUUUAUUAGCUAGAGGUGGAAUUCUCUAAUUUGAUAAAGACUAACUUAUGCGAAAGCAUUUGCCUAGGAUGUUUUCAUUG